UUCCUACGGGGGGCAGCAGUGAGGAAUAUUGGUCAAUGGCCGAGAGGCUGAACCAGCCAAGUCGCGUGAGGGAAGACGGCCCUACGGGUUGUAAACCUCUUUUGUCGGGGAGCAAUGAGAGUCACGUGUGACUCAUUGAGAGUACCCGAAGAAAAAGCAUCGGCUAACUCCGUGCCAGCAGCCGCGGUAAUACGGAGGAUGCGAGCGUUAUCCGGAUUUAUUGGGUUUAAAGGGUGCGCAGGCGGAGGUGCAAGUCAGCGGUCAAAUUGCGGGGCUCAACCCCGGCCGGCCGUUGAAACUGGUUU
This 305-nucleotide ribosomal RNA is filed under the name uncultured bacterium. RNAcentral describes it as "bacterial SSU rRNA". It matches the Rfam family "Bacterial small subunit ribosomal RNA", at positions 336 to 639 of the family's 1533-position model. The record is from RNAcentral.